UACAGAGGGGGCAAGCGUUGUUCGGAAUUACUGGGCGUAAAGGGCGCGUAGGCGGCCUUCUAAGUCGAACGUGAAAUCCCCGGGCUCAACCCGGGAACUGCGUCCGAUACUGGAAGGCUUGAAUCCGGGAGAGGGAUGCGGAAUUCCAGGUGUAGCGGUGAAAUGCGUAGAUAUCUGGAGGAACACCGGUGGCGAAGGCGGUAUCCUGGACCGGCAUUGACGCUGAGGCGCGAAAGCGUGGGGAGCGAACAGG
This 253-nucleotide ribosomal RNA is filed under the name uncultured bacterium. Its description in RNAcentral is "partial 16S ribosomal RNA". It matches the Rfam family "Bacterial small subunit ribosomal RNA", at positions 524 to 776 of the family's 1533-position model. The record is from RNAcentral.